UACGUAGGGACCGAGCGUUGUCCGGAAUCAUUGGGCGUAAAGAGCGUGUAGGCGGCUAUUUAAGUCCUGCGUGAAAUCCUGCGGCUCAACCGCAGACGGUCGUGGGAAACUGGAUGGCUAGAGUGCGGGAGAGGAGAGUGGAAUUCCCGGUGUAGCGGUGAAAUGCGCAGAUAUCGGGAAGAACACCCGUGGCGAAGGCGGCUCUCUGGAACGCAACUGACGCUGAGACGCGAAAGUGUGGGGAGCGAACAGG
Molecule: ribosomal RNA, 253 nt
Filed under: uncultured bacterium
Lineage: Bacteria
Description: partial 16S ribosomal RNA
Rfam family: Bacterial small subunit ribosomal RNA
Source: RNAcentral